UUCAUUAACCCACUGCGAUGAGGCAGAAAAAUUGCCACCGGAAAGUUAGUGAAAUUCACAAAUCCCUUUUUAGUCCUUGUGUUUGAAGCACUGGACUAAGUGCUGGGAAUACAGAUCCAAGGUCUGCCAGUAACUCUAAGAGAAGACUGGGCAUGAAGCAUGGUACAAGAGAAGCACAAGACAAGUUAGAACACCGAGUCUGGAAGGUUUAUUUCUGGCUGAGGCAACCAGAGAAUAUGUUAUCUCCCCUGCUUCUUGGGAACAUGGAUCCUUCAUCAGUGACCUGGAAUGGUUGCUGAGUGUGAUGCAGGUUGCUGAGAGUGAUGCAGGUUUUUUGAAUCAGGAAUUUGGGGAGCAGUUUAACUGGGUACCUUUCACUCAAGAUUGUCGUCAGGGAUUGCUGUCAUCUUCCAGACUCAACUGGGGCCGAAGGACCCGCUUCCAGGCUCAGGCACGUGGUUGCUGGCAGGCUUCGGUUCCUUGCAGGCUCCUGGCUUGAGAGUCCCCAUUCCUCUGCGCUGUUGGAUCCCCGGCCGGGUUCCUUGCCGCACCACGUGGUUACGUCCCCAGUGCUGUUAGCAGUAUGGCUGCUUGCUGUCUUCCGUGCCAGUGACCCAAGAGAAAGGAGAAACAGAGCGCCCAAGAUGGAAUCCGCAGUUACAGCAGUGCCCCCGCCAUCCGUGGUUUUGCUUUCUGUGGCUUCAGUUACCCGUGAUCCGAAAAUAUGAAAUGGAAAAUUCCAGAAAUAAACAAUUUAGACAGGGAUUCUUUCUGUCACCCCAUCUGGACUUCAGCUCACUGCAGCCUCAAACUCCUGGGCUCAAGCAAUCCUCCUUCUUCAGCCUUCCAAUUGACUGGUACUACAGAGCAAAGGACACAGCCAGAAGGCAACUAUCUGCAAGCCAGGAAGAGAGGUCUCUCCAGAAACCAACGCUGAGGGCAUCUCAGUUCUGGACUUCUGACCUCCAGAACUGUGAGGAAAUAAAUUUCUGUUGUUUAAGCCA
Molecule: long non-coding RNA, 1004 nt
Organism: Lemur catta (Ring-tailed lemur)
Lineage: Eukaryota; Metazoa; Chordata; Mammalia; Primates; Lemuridae
Exons: 5
Source: RefSeq, a predicted model, not a curated record